This 301-nucleotide ribosomal RNA is filed under the name uncultured bacterium. RNAcentral's name for it is "partial 16S ribosomal RNA". It matches the Rfam family "Bacterial small subunit ribosomal RNA", at positions 509 to 807 of the family's 1533-position model. The record is from RNAcentral.
CAGCCGCCGCGGGAAUACAGAGGUCUCAAGCGUUGUUCGGAUUCAUUGGGCGUAAAGGGUGCGUAGGUGGCGGUGUAAGUCUAACGUGAAAUCUCGGGGCUCAACCUCGAAAUUGCGUCGGAUACUGCAUUGCUAGAGGAUUGUAGAGGAGAGUGGAAUUCAUGGUGUAGCAGUGAAAUGCGUAGUUAUCAUGAGGAAGACCAGUUGCGAAGGCGACUCUCUGGGCAAUUCCUGACACUGAGGCACGAAGGCUAGGGGAGCAAACGGAAUUAGAUACCCGAGUAGUCCCUGUCUCUUAUAC